AUUAAAAUGUCUUUUACUAAGGUUUUUAAAAAGUUACUGAGAAGUCUUGUUCUCAAGUUGCUCAGACGGAGCCAGGCACUAACUGCCAGAUCGAUGCUGUUAACACAAAAGCUGCUGUGCACAGUGUGUUAGGGAGGGAGAGGUUACCUCCCGCAGGAGUGGGGAGGGGAGAUGAGCAGACAAAUAGCCAGCCCAGCAGCCACAGAAACACUACUCGUGACUUCCGUGGGCCAUCAGAGAACCUCAGAGCUGGCAAGAAGCUUAGGAACCCCGGGUAUCCCACAUUUCCCCAUUCUCAUUCUCAUUUUCCAGAUCAAAUCGGAGGCCGAGAUAGGAAAAGUGACUUGUCUAAGAUGCCGGGUCUCAUAUCCUGCUUCUCCAGCCCUUCUGUGUCGUCUCCGGGGCACUGGGCCCACACAGUUCCUGCCUCGACCCCUUUGCGUGGCCAAGCUAUGUACAGCUGGGGAGGCCCAAGCCGUCACAGAGGAGAGCCCAGAGGAUGCACGGGUCAAGGCUCUGGCGAACCCACCUCUGAAGUGGACUCCUGAUGAAGCUGAUUAUAAAUUAAAUCCGUUUCUUCCAUGCAACCCGUGUGCAGCCUCCUUGAGAGACAGGUGUUUUUGACAGCCCCAGCAAAGCCCUCCUACUGCAAGAAAACCACUCUUCCCUGGGGCUGAGGAUGGCAACCAGGAGAAUAAUGAAAACGAUCAAAGAGACAGAGAAGUGGAGGCCUUCCAUUGGUACGACGUUCCAUUGUUUGCAAUGCUCUCGCACAUUCCGACUCUCACUUUAGCUUACUAACAACCCUGGGAGCUCAUUAUGAUCAUUCUUUUCAGCUUCUGGUUUAAAGAAGAGGAAGCCGGGCUUCCGGGGUAAGUGACUUCGUCCAAAGACACACAACAAGGGAGUGGCUGAGGCAGGAUGAACGAUGUCUUCCAAUGGCAACUCCAGGCUGGAUUCUCAGAACGAGGAGACCAAGUAGUUGCCCUUUCCUCUCUGGGGUCCCAGAUCGGGGAAACAUUGUCUAGAUGAGUAAAUGGAUGGAUGUUCAGGAGUUGAUACUCAGCAGUGUUUCUGGAAAUGUCUGAGAAGAGAGGGGAGAGAGAAAUGAAAAAGGGCCUUUCUCAGUUCCAAAUAUAGAUGCAGACAGUGGUGGAGGAACCCAUGUACACGUGCCCUGGGACGUCCAUAUAUCGGCCCCCAGUCCUUGCCUCCAGCAUCACUGCCAAGGAUGUCUACAUGAUGUCAGAAAGGUGCCGCUCUCCCAGAUGGAGCACCUAUCCCUUUAAGGCCAGCAGGAAGGCAAAAUGCCGUGGGAGGAGGAAGAAAGGCCUCUUCAGCCCUGAGAAGCCCAAGGGAAGCCAGCUGCCCGCCACUCCCCACAACCUAAAGAGAGGGCCACCCACCUGCCACCCACCUAUCAGAUCUGCAUUAUGACCUCAUUUGGUUCCAAGUUACCUCAGGGCCCGGGGUAGGAGCAGAAGACGAGCUGGUCAUUUUUGGAUUGAUCUGGCUGCCUGGCGAUACCUAGUAGACGGUCAAUGAUUGCUGAUGAAUGAAGGCAUGCAUGAAUGGGGGAAGGCGGGGGGGGGCCACUGCCCCCCAACCACACACUCCCCUCCUCCAUCUGCUUCAGCCUCCCUCCCGUGUAGCAUCCUGGCCUCCUGCUGUCUUCUCCUCUGUCUCCUGGCCACAGCUCUGUGGCCUCGGACUUACCUCCAGUGCUCUCCGUAAGUCUUUCCUCCACUGUCCCAGGGCCUCCGUGCAGCUGUGAACGGCAGUGAGGACUUGGUCAGCACAGGUGCCUGUGUCAUCCGUCCAUAAGCUCGGGAAACUAAUGCCCUUGGGGGCAAUGCUCAACCAACGGUAGAGGGGCCAGUGGAUAAGUGCACACCCUCAGGUGGAAGGUUCUGUGUUCUCCCAGAUGGUCUCAAUGGAGUCCAGCCCAGUUCCCCGUAGCAGUGUCCUCCCUAACGCACCCUCUGUCCACCACUUUCCCGGGGGCCUCCCACCUAUCCUACCUAUCAUAAGACCCCUGGGAGGGUUCUCCGUGCCCCCGGCCCUCUGCUGUUUCCUUGGCUCCUGUCCACAGAACGUCUUUCGUUUCUACCCUGCUGAGGGAAAUUCUGCAGCCUGCUGUCCACAGAGGGCAUAGCAACCAUAGAGUUGGCACAGCCAGAGGACUGACUCCAUACCGUGGCCUGGGCUAUGCCUUUAUAGACCUUUCCAAGCCUCACCUCUGGGGUAUGCAUUACUAUUCCCAUUUUAUAGAUGUGCACAGCAAGGUUCGGAAGAAUAUGACACAGGUCACAAUAAGAGAGAAGCCCAGAGCCAUCAGAGGUCUUACCUUGGCUUACAUAGCACAGUAGGCCUGGCCCCAGAACAGCAGUGACCCCCAGAACCGGUGAGGAGACACACGGAGCCCUGAGAUUGGACCCCCAUCACCCCCUGGCCGAGGGACACAGAACAAAGGCUAAAGGGUGGGUGAGAGCCUAGGGGUGCAGGAAAAGCAAGAUUAGAGCACAGGCGAGCAGGCUGAGGGGCUGAGAAACAGGGCUCAAAGGUCCAGACAGCCAAGUGCACAGGGCCCUGCAUGUUGGUAUAAGAAAGGAGGAUUUUUUUUCCCCCAGAGAGCAACCUGGAGCUUGUAAAGUCUCUGAGACAAGGGUCUAAACAAAUUUCCACUUGAGAGAGCUUCCUCAGGCUGGGUGGGGUCAGAGUGGCUUGGCCAAUUGUCCAGGAAGGAGACAAUCAAGGUUGGAGGCAGGGCAGGUGACAUGGGGAGCCUGGCCAAGGAGGGGAGACACCAAGAGAACUGGAGGCGAGGAAGAGGGCAGAGUCGAGGACAGCCUCAGGACUGGCUCCUUGUCCCCACCAGAGAAGUCAAGACUAGCCCCUAGUCUGGACAGCCUCUCCACUCCUCUCCACUCACUCUGCCUGCGGCGUGCUUGGGAGCCUCUGGGAAGGGGUGAGGUUCCCUCGAGCCCCAUCCUGGGAGUCUGCUGGGCCAUCUCUGCCCCCUGAAACCGUGAAAUAUUUACAGCCCGCCGAGCAGGGGAAGUGAGGGGGAGCGAGCACAUGAAUUAUUGACAACUUCACUUUUAUCCUGGCCCAGGCUGCUGGGAUGAGCACAGACCCAGGGGAGCCCCGAGGCAAUCUAUGGGCAUUAAGCAGAGUUUUUGAGGAAGCCAGGGGUAGAGGCUCCUGACUGUCAGGGGAACCAGAGGUGGCCAGAGUAGAGCAGCCACUGUCCCAGCCCUACGGGGAGCCCAGUGUCGAGGAGAGGGUAGUGAGAAGAGUGAUUGGCAAGGAGCCCAGCAUCAUCGAGCCUGGCCUGUGGCCCUCACUCCUCACUGGUUGCCUCCCAGACACCCAGGGAUUUGGCCUGUCGGGGCCUCACCCCUACAAGCUGCUCGGAUACCUGUCGUGACAGAGGUCAGCUGCCCCCUCUGAGAUGACUGCGGGGUUGUCCCCAGUCCUGCAGGGUACCAAACCCGGUGACAACCCCUGCGGCAGCCCAGAAGGGCCGGCCUCUUUUGCCCCCACACCGGCUCUGCUGGCCUGCGCCUUCCGCACAAACUUGCACAGAACAUCCCCUAGGAAAAGGCCUCAGGGAGACUGUUCUCUCCUAGCACGUGGGCAGCACCAGCAACCUGCCUUCAAGGGAAGAGCUAGAUCCUGCAGUCAAGGAGUGAGCACUGGAAUAGGAGUCAGAAGACAUGGGUCUGAGUCUCAGCACCACAAGCCAGCCAUGGACCCAAGCCUCAGGUUUCUUGUCUGAGAAAUGGAUAUGAAUAUGGCCUAUCUCACAGGGCUGGUGGGCAUCUCUAGGAGACCUUGUGAGGACAGACUCUGCAGACAGAGGCACUGUUCUUACCCAGACCGGUUCUGCCCCCAUCCCUGGCGGCAGCCAGCGCCUCAACCUUCCCAGACAGCGAAAACCCGACAGCCAGGGUGACAGGCAACCCGGCCGUGUGAUCCGUGUGAUCCUGUCCCAAGACCAGAGGCUUUUUAUAUUUUCACAUUUUGUCCUUCCAGGACAUGUGGUGUUGAGACAAGCAGCCUCCUGCCAGGCUCCCUCCCUCCUUCCUGGCCUGUCUGCACAGGACAGCCUGCGGCCCCCCACACACCAGAAGAGGGAAGGAACCGAGAUGGGGAGGGGGUACACUCUAAAGCCCACGCUGGAAUAGGCAGCAUCUGGGUCGCUGCCCUUCCUCAUCGCUGAGCUGGGUGUGGGGGCUCGUGGGGCUCCCGUGGGCCUCUGAUCUUCCACUGGGAGGCCCCCGAGGCCCUGAGCCCGUGUAAAAGGACAGGAUUCCCGGAAGCCCACAUCCCCCAGCCCCGUGCAGCGGGGAGCCAGCCGGUGUUUCUACUUCUCACUUGCCACCCCCACCUCCCCUCAGCUCAGGGCACUCUGCAACCAGGUUAGCAACCUCAUAUCUUCCAGAGAAGAGAAGGAAGAGAGAAGGAAGAAGAGGUCACUAGGGGUCUGGCUGUGCAGCCAUUUCUAUCACAUGUUCCAGGGGCGCCUGGGUCGGCUCGGGUCAUGAUCUCAUGGUUCGUGGCUUCGAGCCCCGUGUUGGGCUCUGGGCCGACCGCUCAGAGCCUGGAGCCUGCUUCGGGUUCUGUGUCUCCCUCUCUCUCUGCCCCUCUCCCACUCGCAUUCUGUCUCUCUAGCGCACGCGCUCUUUCUCAAAAAUAAAUAAACAUUAAAAAAAAGCUUUUUUAAUGUU
RNAcentral lists this long non-coding RNA (4733 nucleotides) under Felis catus (domestic cat). RNAcentral describes it as "lncRNA (ENSFCAG00000051337.1)". Lineage: Eukaryota; Metazoa; Chordata; Mammalia; Carnivora; Felidae. The record is from RNAcentral.